RNAcentral lists this long non-coding RNA (474 nucleotides) under Anser brachyrhynchus (Pink-footed goose). RNAcentral's name for it is "lncRNA (ENSABRG00000021834.1)". The record is from RNAcentral. Lineage: Eukaryota; Metazoa; Chordata; Aves; Anseriformes; Anatidae.
UUGUAAGUGACAAGCAGCGAGCAGGUGAUUCAUGGUCACCUUUACCUCACUGUUUUGUUACAGACAUGGGUGUAACUCUCCUCUGCUGGGAAAGAGAAACUUGUGCCCAAAUGGAUCCAAGGCUGCGUGUGAGUUGUUCGAGAAAACAAAAAUUUUCUGCUGACUAAUGAGUCUCUGACUUCCUCCAGUCUACCAAAUGUUCUAGUCAGUAAGCUACUUUAGCAAACAAAGGAGAAUGGAGAGAGGGAUGGCUGGAAACAACAGAAAGGAAGAGAAAGAGAGACCUCUUUGAUGGCAACUAACAACAUGGAAUCUCUGUUUCUGCUUUUCCAUUUUUGAAACAUUUUCUGUAAGGCAGAGAAAUACAAAUGUUUGAAUCUUUGUGAGGUUACUUCAUAGAUAAUUAAACAAUUUAAAUGCUGAGAUUUUAAAAUUGCUUAAGCAACAUAGAAGCUUAAUUGUGCUCAAUAAAAG